Molecule: ribosomal RNA, 1483 nt
Filed under: Helicobacter pylori SA303C
Lineage: Bacteria; Pseudomonadati; Campylobacterota; Epsilonproteobacteria; Campylobacterales; Helicobacteraceae
Description: bacterial SSU rRNA
Rfam family: Bacterial small subunit ribosomal RNA
Source: RNAcentral
AGAGUUUGAUCCUGGCUCAGAGUGAACGCUGGCGGCGUGCCUAAUACAUGCAAGUCGAACGAUGAAAUUUCUAGCUUGCUAGAAAUGGAUUAGUGGCGCACGGGUGAGUAACGCAUAGGUCAUGUGCCUCUUAGUUUGGGAUAGCCAUUGGAAACGAUGAUUAAUACCAGAUACUCCCUACGGGGGAAAGAUUUAUCGCUAAGAGAUCAGCCUAUGUCCUAUCAGCUUGUUGGUAAGGUAAUGGCUUACCAAGGCUAUGACGGGUAUCCGGCCUGAGAGGGUGAACGGACACACUGGAACUGAGACACGGUCCAGACUCCUACGGGAGGCAGCAGUAGGGAAUAUUGCUCAAUGGGGGAAACCCUGAAGCAGCAACGCCGCGUGGAGGAUGAAGGUUUUAGGAUUGUAAACUCCUUUUGUUAGAGAAGAUAAUGACGGUAUCUAACGAAUAAGCACCGGCUAACUCCGUGCCAGCAGCCGCGGUAAUACGGAGGGUGCAAGCGUUACUCGGAAUCACUGGGCGUAAAGAGCGCGUAGGCGGGAUAGUCAGUCAGGUGUGAAAUCCUAUGGCUUAACCAUAGAACUGCAUUUGAAACUACUAUUCUAGAGUGUGGGAGAGGUAGGUGGAAUUCUUGGUGUAGGGGUAAAAUCCGUAGAGAUCAAGAGGAAUACUCAUUGCGAAGGCGACCUGCUGGAACAUUACUGACGCUGAUUGCGCGAAAGCGUGGGGAGCAAACAGGAUUAGAUACCCUGGUAGUCCACGCCCUAAACGAUGGAUGCUAGUUGUUGGAGGGCUUAGUCUCUCCAGUAAUGCAGCUAACGCAUUAAGCAUCCCGCCUGGGGAGUACGGUCGCAAGAUUAAAACUCAAAGGAAUAGACGGGGACCCGCACAAGCGGUGGAGCAUGUGGUUUAAUUCGAGGAUACACGAAGAACCUUACCUAGGCUUGACAUUGAGAGAAUCCGCUAGAAAUAGUGGAGUGUCUAGCUUGCUAGACCUUGAAAACAGGUGCUGCACGGCUGUCGUCAGCUCGUGUCGUGAGAUGUUGGGUUAAGUCCCGCAACGAGCGCAACCCCCUUUCUUAGUUGCUAACAGGUCAUGCUGAGAACUCUAAGGAUACUGCCUCCGUAAGGAGGAGGAAGGUGGGGACGACGUCAAGUCAUCAUGGCCCUUACGCCUAGGGCUACACACGUGCUACAAUGGGGUGCACAAAGAGAAGCAAUACUGCGAAGUGGAGCCAAUCUUCAAAACACCUCUCAGUUCGGAUUGUAGGCUGCAACUCGCCUGCAUGAAGCUGGAAUCGCUAGUAAUCGCAAAUCAGCCAUGUUGCGGUGAAUACGUUCCCGGGUCUUGUACUCACCGCCCGUCACACCAUGGGAGUUGUGUUUGCCUUAAGUCAGGAUGCUAAAUUGGCUACUGCCCACGGCACACACAGCGACUGGGGUGAAGUCGUAACAAGGUAACCGUAGGUGAACCUGCGGUUG